CUUGUUAUCUGUUGUGUCAUCAGCUCCAUUUAAUCCUGUCUUUUCAAAAAGCUGUUGGAUGAAGAGCCCAGAAAUGCUGCAUGUGUAACACAUGCUGGUUGCUCCGUACACCCAACCCCCUGCCACGUGUCACCUGUAAGCUUGAGCGUGCUGACUGUCUUAAUCCAUGCACAAGACAGAAAUGAAAAGAACUUUUUCCUACCCAUAACCUUUCCUUUUCCAGAUCUUCUCUCCUGAGUGUGACAGCAUGCUGUUCAUGAAAGCAGCCGUGCCCGAUGCCCACCCAGCAGUGCUGCUCGAUGCAAUUCCACUCUGCACCUCCCAUUGGGAAGCCUUGGACAAGCUCCACUUUUCAACAUUACAGAAAUGCAAAAUGCUACAACUAUCCCAGGUAAAAUGUGUCUUCUCCCGAAGCACCCAAAGAAGUCAGCAAGAGGCAGGCUCCUGCACGUGCUACCUGUGUGGAGGAACAGACUGCAAGACGUGAGGAUCACUCCGGCACUGCAUUAAGCAACAUAACUAACAUCUGCUUGUUGUUCUCUUAGCAACUCUCCUGGGGAAAAGCGAGAGUAUGGAGGGUUUGAUCGUGGAUAAUGAUCAUCUAGGAUUAUUUAUCACAUGAGCUGGAAAGCUUCUUCCAUUUAUUCCUGCAUCAAAUUUGGAACUGCUGGCUGAACUGAAAGGUAUCAUUUGGAAUUAAAAUAGGGCCCAUCACAGAGAGACAGCUGGUGGUGGGGAAUACAGAAAGUUUGUAGGCAAACUACUGCAACAACUCUCUCUUUAAAGCCAGUUCUUUGUUCCUAACAUUGCUGGGUUUUCCUACCUGGGUUCUGGUGUCUUCCAUUACACCUGGCAGCAGUAACGCUUGAACACUUGCAAGACUAAGCUGCAUAAAAUAAGACUCACAAUAUGAAACAGGGGCACUCAGUCCUGGGAAGGUAACUGAACAGCUUCUGUCCAAGGAUUUGAAGAAAAUUCACUCCCCUUUUUGUCAGUGCUUUACAUCUUUUGCCUUCCCCCCUGCUCCUCUUGCAGCCUGUGCUCCUCUGAGCGGUCAUUUAGGAAGCUGAGGAGCUUCCACAUCUGGUGGGAGAGGAUUGAUGCUUCUGUGCACUGCGGGGACGGGGAGCUCGGCAGUUACACCAGCCCCCAAAGCUGCAGUGGAGGGGAUGCUCCUACAUCUUUAUUUAACUUGAGCUGCCUAUAAAUUAAUCAACUUUCCGAAGGUCUUCCUCCAUGUUCUCUUUGUCCUUAGCAGGCAAUCAAUCUAUGGCUGCCUCGCCUUCAGCCUGAGAUGUCUAAUUUUCAGACAGCUAGGUUUCAACAGAUGAACAUUACACAACACAUGUACUUACUUCUAAGAGUGAAACUGUGCUUUAAUUACAGGAAACAUCAUAUUUCAGUGAUAAAAUUGUCUCUCAGAGUGGGAAGCACACCGAGGUGCAUUUGGAGCCAAGGGAUGCAGGAGAAAUGGUGUCAGCAGACCCAGAAAAGAAGAAUAAGGCAGUGAUGAGCCAAUCAAUAAGCCAGUAAUUAGGGCUGCUUGGCAGGUUGGGGGGUGUUUUGUUUUUGGCAUUUUGCUUGUGUUUUUUUUUUCCCCCUUGGUUUUGAAAGAAGUUUGCUUAUCUAAGUUUUAUAACGACUUAAAUGAAUCCCAGCUCUGUUCAAAUCAAUGAAAGCCUUUGUGAGACAGCUGUAAUUUUAUGUGCAUGUGUUUCGGUAAAUUAAAGGGUUUAGCCUUAAGGAUUCACUUUAGUGUAAUCUACUAAAAAGAUAAGUAGAGCCAGAUGUAGUGCCUUAUAAACUGCUGGACAGUUGGAACUGGAGCGACAGCACUGAAAGCAGCUUUACAGUUUUCCUCAUAGGAAGCAGAUUUCCUGACUCAAAAAAAGCAAUAUUUUACAUAAAUAGUUGUAAAUAUUUUGUAUUUACAAUGCAAAGAAAGAAGGAUGCAAACGGGCAAAAAAAAAUUAGCCUAGGCAAUUGGUAAUGGAUUUCUCUUGUUCUGUUUGUGCACAUCCAUGGAGAAAGGCAAUCUGUAGUUUAAACCAUUUAACUAAAUUAAAUUCUAGUUAGCAUCUGGGAGCCCGUCAAUAAGAGUCUAUAUUUCUGAAGAGCCACAGACUGGUGGCAGUAAUAGACACAUAAAGAUUUUAAUAGGUAAAUAAAUUUGUUGUUGCAUUUCUCUUGCUACCA
RNAcentral lists this long non-coding RNA (2196 nucleotides) under Anas platyrhynchos platyrhynchos (common mallard). Its description in RNAcentral is "lncRNA (ENSAPLG00000017966.1)". The record is from RNAcentral. Lineage: Eukaryota; Metazoa; Chordata; Aves; Anseriformes; Anatidae.